GCGGACUGCGGGUAUGCGGG
Molecule: non-coding RNA, 20 nt
Filed under: Arabidopsis thaliana (thale cress)
Lineage: Eukaryota; Viridiplantae; Streptophyta; Magnoliopsida; Brassicales; Brassicaceae
Source: RNAcentral